RNAcentral lists this transfer RNA (76 nucleotides) under Acidimicrobium sp. BACL27 MAG-120823-bin4. RNAcentral describes it as "tRNA-Val". It matches the Rfam family "tRNA". From Rfam's summary of the family: Transfer RNA (tRNA) molecules are approximately 80 nucleotides in length. Their secondary structure includes four short double-helical elements and three loops (D, anti-codon, and T loops). The record is from RNAcentral. RNAcentral also lists the same sequence under 3 other names. Lineage: Bacteria; Bacillati; Actinomycetota; Acidimicrobiia; Acidimicrobiales; Acidimicrobiaceae.
GGGCGUGUAGCUCAGUUGGUAGAGCGCCACCUCGACAUGGUGGAGGUCCCGGGUUCAAGCCCCGUCGCGCCCACAA